CGCCUGUUUAUCAAAAACAUGGCUUUUUGAAAAUAAUUUAAAGUCUGGCCUGCCCACUGAGUAUUUAAAGGGCCGCGGUAAUUUGACCGUGCUAAGGUAGCAUAAUCAUUAGUUUUUUAAUUGAAAGCUGGUAUGAAUGGUCGGAUGAGAAAAUAACUGUCUCUAUUUAAUUUUAUUUGAAUUUUAUUUUUAAGUAAAAAAGCUUAAAUUAGAUUAAAAGACGAGAAGACCCUAUAGAGUUUUAUAAAAUUUUAAAUUUAAAUCUUUAGGAUUAUAAUUUUGUAUUUAAUAUUUUAUUUGAUUGGGGCGAUUGAAAAAUUUAAUAAACUUUUUUUAUAUAAAAACAUUAAUUUAUGAAUUUUUGAUCCAUUAAUGUAUGAUUAUAAGAUUAAAUUACCUUAGGGAUAACAGCGUAAUUUUUUUUGAGAGUUCAAAUCGAAAAAAAAGUUUGCGACCUCGAUGUUGGAUUAAAAUUAAUUUUUGGUGUAGAGGCUAAAAAAUUAGGUCUGUUCGACCUUUAAAAUUUUAC
Molecule: ribosomal RNA, 529 nt
Filed under: Monochamus nitens
Lineage: Eukaryota; Metazoa; Arthropoda; Insecta; Coleoptera; Cerambycidae
Description: partial 16S rRNA
Rfam family: Bacterial large subunit ribosomal RNA
Source: RNAcentral